RNAcentral lists this long non-coding RNA (1238 nucleotides) under Drosophila guanche. The record is from RNAcentral. Lineage: Eukaryota; Metazoa; Arthropoda; Insecta; Diptera; Drosophilidae.
GUGGGUUUUAAUUAUUUGAACCACACUUUUGGCUGGUAUUUGCGGUAUCAAUCAGUUGACUUUUACAUUUCCCUUAAUUUAUUUUUUUAAUUUCGUGGUUCUUAUCAAAGCGUUUUCAGCUUUUUUCCUUCCUUUUGUAGUAAAUGUUCGAAUUACUCUUCUUAGAUUCGUUUCCUAUGGUUUUAAUCCAUUGAUUUACACAUUUUAUAGUUUGUUGUGUUUUUAUUUAUUUGGCAAACAAUUCGAUUUGGUUUUAAAAAAAUUACUUUAACAACUACUUAAUUGUUUGCUUUCUUUUGAAGAUAUUUUCGUUUUGUUUAUAAAUUUAGCUUCCACUUGGAAUGGAUUCCACAAUAUCCACUCUCUCUCUAGCUUUCUCUUCUUCUAAAGCUCUCUCUUGCCGACUCUCUUUGUCGUCGUCGCAGUAAUGGAUGGGAUGGAUGUGGUUGUUGUUACUCUCCCAACUCCGCGUACACUCUCUGCUUUCUCCUUGCUCACUCUCCUUCUUCCACUCGCCCUCUUUCUACUCUUCUUUCUUCCUUCCACUCUCCUCCCUGCCUGCGUUUCAGGUGGCAACGGCAGCGGCUAUGUAGCGGCUAUCUCUCCGUCUCUCUAUGUAUUCCUUUUUUUUUUUUGGUUCGUCUUUUUUUGUAUUUUAUUUUAUUUCGUUGUUGGUAUUUUCAGUAACUUUUUCCCGAUUCCGCUUUGGUGUCCACAUUCGCUGUGCUCGCAAUUCACCGAAAAAACCGAAAGCACGAACCAACAACAACAACAAUAACGUCAAGGAGACGCACGCAAUUAUCCUGUUUAGGCACUCGAAUCAUUUAUUCAAUUAAGUUUUCAUUGCUGGAUUAUAUUCAUUUUUUUUCUUCCGGGCCGUUACUCUUCCCCCUCUUCUUUGCUCUCACUCCUAGGCCGCUGCCGUUACCCCGGUAUUCUUCCCGGUCACCCGCACAAAUCGGGUAAUGUAGGAAAUUAUACAACCGACGCCGCGUUGGAAGGAUGCUGCCUGCCUGACAGUUUCUUUUUUUGGUUGGAGCACUCGCGAUAUCCGUAAUUCUGAGAUUUUAUUCACGAUUAAAACUGCGCCCUGCGGCUAUGCAGCGAUUUAUUUAUUGCACAAUUGAUGGAACGAUUUUUUAGAAAAUUUCGAUUGCUUCUGUGUUUUUUUUUUUGGUGUGUGUCUAGUUGUUCUCUGUGUGUCUCUCGCUCGCUCGCUGCGUGUGGCAGAGUCAAAG